RNAcentral lists this long non-coding RNA (420 nucleotides) under Chinchilla lanigera (long-tailed chinchilla). RNAcentral's name for it is "lncRNA (ENSCLAG00000024597.1)". The record is from RNAcentral. Lineage: Eukaryota; Metazoa; Chordata; Mammalia; Rodentia; Chinchillidae.
CCUUCCGAGUCUCCCACAUCGGAGCACCUGAGACUUCUAGGAGACAUUUUAGUUCUAAACUAGCUCACCUAUGUGCUCUGACCCUAGGAUUCCUAUGGAAUCCAAUAUUAAAACCCCUAUAUUAUAAUAUUUCACAAGUUAGUAACUUCUAUCAUCCAUUCAUUUUCUAAUAUUAAUUAAUGAAUAUGACAACAGCUUGACAAAUGACUAAUCACUUACUGGGAGUAAAAGGAUUACCAGCUGCCACACAGUCUUCAUCAGCAGGAGUGGAUCACUCACUUACUGCUUUAUACCCAUGGAAAGACAUUCUACCUUCAGAAAAAAGAAAGGAAGCUGCAUUAAUUAACCAGAAAGCAAAAAUCCAGUUUAGUUCCGUUUUUGUGCUUAUGCUUUCUCCAGUACAGCCUAUGAAUCCAUUCU